This is a long non-coding RNA of Anguilla rostrata (American eel), 262 nucleotides long. RefSeq lists it as uncharacterized. The record is from RefSeq and is a predicted model, not a curated record. The transcript is spliced from 2 exons. NCBI's taxonomy places the organism in Eukaryota, Metazoa, Chordata, Actinopteri, Anguilliformes, Anguillidae.
AAUACAUUGCACAUGCCAAUAAUAGUCAGAAAAUGAAAAGUAUGCACGCAAUUCUAUUAUAUUUACAGCUCUUAAUCUCAGUCUGUACAUGUAUAGAAUAGUGAGGAGUCUUGGGUAAUGAAGUCAGCCAGCUAGUAUACUGUAAAAAAAAAAAAAAUGUUACUCACAAAACCCUCAAAAUCAUAUUUUGUUUUUGAAGUAAAUCCCUUCAACCUUCUUACUCAUUUUGUUGGUUAACAGUUGCUUUUUGUGUAAAAAUGUU